RNAcentral lists this ribosomal RNA (225 nucleotides) under uncultured Glomeromycotina. RNAcentral describes it as "partial small subunit ribosomal RNA". The stretch from base 40 to 225 matches the Rfam family "Eukaryotic small subunit ribosomal RNA", at positions 686 to 873 of the family's 1831-position model. Lineage: Eukaryota; Fungi; Glomeromycota. The record is from RNAcentral.
GGGUUAGUAGGUUGGUCAUGCCUCUGGUAUGCGCUGGCCUCACUGAUUCCUCCUUCCUGAUGAGCCGUAAUGCCAUUAAUUUGGUGUUGCGGGGAAUUUGGACUGUUACUUCGAAAAAGUUAGAGUGUUUAAAGCAAGCUAACGCUUGAAUACAUUAGCAUGGAAUAAUGAAAUAGGACGUUCGAUCCUAUUUUGUUGGUUUCUAGGAUUGACGUAAUGAUUAAU